This 348-nucleotide unclassified non-coding RNA is filed under the name soil metagenome. RNAcentral's name for it is "partial contains 5.8S ribosomal RNA, internal transcribed spacer 2, and large subunit ribosomal RNA". The stretch from base 1 to 120 matches the Rfam family "5.8S ribosomal RNA", at positions 35 to 154 of the family's 154-position model. The record is from RNAcentral.
GAUGAAGAACGCAGCAAAAUGCGAUAAGUAAUGUGAAUUGCAGAAUUCAGUGAAUCAUCGAAUCUUUGAACGCACAUUGCGCCCGCUGGUAUUCCGGCGGGCAUGCCUGUUCGAGCGUCAUUUCAACCCUCAAGCCCCCGGGUUUGGUGUUGGGGAUCGGCUCUGCCCUUCUGGGCGGUGCCGCCCCCGAAAUACAUUGGCGGUCUCGCUGCAGCCUCCAUUGCGUAGUAGCUAACACCUCGCAACUGGAAUGCGGCGCGGCCAUGCCGUAAAACCCCAACUUCUGAAUGUUGACCUCGGAUCAGGUAGGAAUACCCGCUGAACUUAAGCAUAUCAAUAAGCGGAGGA